AUUGAACGCUGGCGGCAGGCCUAACACAUGCAAGUCGAGCGGAUGAAGGGAGCUUGCUCCUGGAUUCAGCGGCGGACGGGUGAGUAAUGCCUAGGAAUCUGCCUGGUAGUGGGGGAUAACGUCCGGAAACGGGCGCUAAUACCGCAUACGUCCUGAGGGAGAAAGUGGGGGAUCUUCGGACCUCACGCUAUCAGAUGUGCCUAGGUCGGAUUAGCUAGUUGGUGGGGUAAAGGCCUACCAAGGCGACGAUCCGUAACUGGUCUGAGAGGAUGAUCAGUCACACUGGAACUGAGACACGGUCCAGACUCCUACGGGAGGCAGCAGUGGGGAAUAUUGGACAAUAGGCGAAAGCCUGAUCCAGCCAUGCCGCGUGUGUGAAGAAGGUCUUCGGAUUGUAAAGCACUUUAAGUUGGGAGGAAGGGCAGUAAGUUAAUACCUUGCUGUUUUGACGUUACCAACAGAAUAAGCACCGGCUAACUUCGUG
RNAcentral lists this ribosomal RNA (484 nucleotides) under uncultured bacterium. Its description in RNAcentral is "partial 16S ribosomal RNA". It matches the Rfam family "Bacterial small subunit ribosomal RNA", at positions 30 to 507 of the family's 1533-position model. The record is from RNAcentral.